UUCUCAAAUCCCUAUGCAGUCUGGAUCUUUGGCAUGCGGGAGGCAAAGUGAUGAGAUCCAUAUACCACCAUACAGGCUGAAAAUCAGUGGAAAUGCUACGCCAAUUGAAAGCCUCUGGCUGGAACACAGGAGAAAUACCGCCAUCUGCUGGCCACUUGGAGAACUGCUCGGGAGAAGCUGCCCACAGACAGACGGAGUCUCGCUCUGUCACCCUGGAGUGCAGUGGCGCGAUCUCGGCUCACUGCAAGCUCCGCCUCCUGGGUUCACGCCAUUCUCCUGCCUCAGACUACCGAGAAGCUGGGACUACAGGCGCCCGCCACCACGCCCGGCUAAUUUUUUGUAUUUUUAGUAGAGACGGGGUUUCACCGUGUUAGUCAGGACGGUCUCGAUCUCUUGACCUCGUGAUCCGCCCACCUCGGCCUCCCAAAGUGCUGGGAUUACAGGCGUGAGCCACCGCACCCGGCCCAAGUCCUUAUUUUAAACACACAUUUCAACACAGAGAAAGCCUCACACACAAUGGAAGGCUCUUAGCACCUAGGAAGAGGACUCUAGGAGACUUCUUCUGAGCCAAAUGCAUUAAUGUGUAAGACCAUACAGAAGCUGACCCAUGUUGACCACCUACCAUAUGCCAGGUAUUGUCACAUGUGUUUUCAUGGAUUAAGGCAUUUAAUCCUUACAACAACUCUCUGAAGAAGAUACAAUUACUAUCCUUAUUUUACAGGUGAGAAAACUGAGGCACAGACAGUCCCAGCAAAUUACACAAGGAUUUCUAGCUUGCCACUGGUGGAGCUGGGACUUGAACCCAGGCUGCCUGGCUCCAGAAUUCACAUUUCCAAUCCCUAUGUUUGAUCUAAAUACUUAAUUUAACAUGGAAAGACCAAACACAGUAAUACUCCUUAUGCACAAUUUUGCUUUCAUGGUUCCAGUUACCCAAAGUCAAUUGGGAGUCAGAAGAUAUUAAAUGGAGAACUCCAGAAAUAAACAAUUCAUCAACUUUAAAUUGCAUGCUCUCUGAGUGUGAUGAAAUCCUGCUCUGUCCUGCCUGGGAUGUGAAUCCUCCCUUUGUACAGUGUGUCUGCACUGUCCACACUCCCUGCCCAUUAGUCACUUGGCAGCGAGUUUGUUUAUUAGAUCGACUGCCAAGGGACUGCGUGCUUGUGUUCACGGAACCUGUAUUGUACUUA
Long non-coding RNA from Gorilla gorilla gorilla (western lowland gorilla), 1184 nucleotides. RefSeq lists it as uncharacterized. Lineage: Eukaryota; Metazoa; Chordata; Mammalia; Primates; Hominidae. The record is from RefSeq and is a predicted model, not a curated record. The transcript is spliced from 3 exons.